UAUUGCACAAUGGGGGAAACCCUGAUGCAGCGACGCCGCGUGAGUGAUGAAGUAUUUCGGUAUGUAAAGCUCUAUCAGCAGGGAAGAAAAUGACGGUACCUGACUAAGAAGCACCGGCUAAAUACGUGCCAGCAGCCGCGGUAAUACGUAUGGUGCAAGCGUUAUCCGGAUUUAAUGGGUGUAAAGGGAGCGUAGACGGAGAGGCAAGUCUGAUGUGAAAACCCGGGGCUCAACCCCGGGACUGCAUUGGAAACUGUUUUUCUAGAGUGUCGGAGAGGCAAGUGGAAUUCCUAGUGUAGCGGUGAAAUGCGUAGAUAUCAGGAGGAACACCGGUGGCGAAGGCGGCCUGCUGGACUGCGACUGACGUUGAGGCCCGAAAGCGUGGGGAGCAAACAG
Molecule: ribosomal RNA, 396 nt
Filed under: uncultured bacterium
Lineage: Bacteria
Description: bacterial SSU rRNA
Rfam family: Bacterial small subunit ribosomal RNA
Source: RNAcentral